RNAcentral lists this ribosomal RNA (421 nucleotides) under Cryptosporidium parvum Iowa II. Its description in RNAcentral is "eukaryotic LSU rRNA". It matches the Rfam family "Eukaryotic large subunit ribosomal RNA", at positions 1 to 410 of the family's 3401-position model. Lineage: Eukaryota; Apicomplexa; Conoidasida; Eucoccidiorida; Cryptosporidiidae. The record is from RNAcentral.
AAGACCUGAUAUUAAGUAAGAUUACCCACUGAACUUAAGCAUAUUAUUAAGUGGAGGAAAAGAAACUAACUAGGAUUUCCUUAGUAACUGCGAGUGAACAGGAAAAAGCUCAACAUGAAAAUCAAUAAUAAUUUUAUUUUAUUAUUGACUUGUAGUAUCUAGAAGUAAUGCCAGUGAAUUAAUAAAAUUAAGUGUUUUGGAAUAAACCACCAUAGAGGGGUGAAAGUCCCGUCUAUAUUUUAUUUUAAUUCACAUACGGUUUACUAUCAAAGAGUCAUAUUCCUUGGGAAUGGAGUAUANAAUGGGGUGGGGUAUUUCAUCCAAAGCUAAAUAUUGAUGAGAAAACGAUAGCAAACAAGUACCCGUGAGGGAAAAGAUGANAGAACUUUUGAAAGAGAAUAAAAAGUACCUGNAAUUACUU